CCUACGGGUGGCAGCAGUGAGGAAUAUUGGUCAAUGGACGAGAGUCUGAACCAGCCAAGUAGCGUGAAGGAUGACUGCCCUAUGGGUUGUAAACUUCUUUUAUAUGGGAAUAAAAUGUUCCACGUGUGGGAUUUUGUAUGUACCAUAUGAAUAAGGAUCGGCUAACUCCGUGCCAGCAGCCGCGGUAAUACGGAGGAUCCGAGCGUUAUCCGGAUUUAUUGGGUUUAAAGGGAGCGUAGGUGGAUUGUUAAGUCAGUUGUGAAAGUUUGCGGCUCAACCGUAAAAUUGCAGUUGAAACUGGCAGUCUUGAGUACAGUAGAGGUGGGCGGAAUACGUGGUGUAGCGGUGAAAUGCUUAGAUAUCACGAAGAACUCCGAUUGCGAAGGCAGUUCACUGGACUGCAACUGACACUGAGGCUCGAGAGUGUGGGUAUCAAACAGGAUUAGAUACCCGGGUAGUC
Molecule: ribosomal RNA, 460 nt
Filed under: uncultured bacterium
Lineage: Bacteria
Description: partial 16S ribosomal RNA
Rfam family: Bacterial small subunit ribosomal RNA
Source: RNAcentral